This 449-nucleotide ribosomal RNA is filed under the name uncultured bacterium. RNAcentral's name for it is "partial 16S ribosomal RNA". It matches the Rfam family "Bacterial small subunit ribosomal RNA", at positions 29 to 523 of the family's 1533-position model. The record is from RNAcentral.
AACGAACGCUGGCGGCAUGCCUAACACAUGCAAGUCGAACGAAGGCUUCGGCCUUAGUGGCGCACGGGUGCGUAACGCGUGGGAAUCUGCCCCUCGGUUCGGAAUAACAGUUAGAAAUGACUGCUAAUACCGGAUGAUGACUUCGGUCCAAAGAUUUAUCGCCGAGGGAUGAGCCCGCGUAAGAUUAGGUAGUUGGUGGGGUAAAGGCCUACCAAGCCGACGAUCUUUAGCUGGUCUGAGAGGAUGAUCAGCCAAACGGGGACUGAGACACGGACCAGACUGCAACGGAAGGCAGUAGUGGGGAAUCUUGGACAAUGGGCGAAAGCCUGAUCCAGCACUACCGCGUGAGUGAUGCAGGCCUUAGGUUUGUAAAGCUCUUUUCCCAGGGAUGAUAAUGACAGUACCUGGAGAAUAAGCUCCGGCUAACUCCGUGCCAGCCGCCGCGGUAA